CCGCGGUGAUGGCAGCGUUUUUCGUCAGCAGCAUCUCACCCCGUGAAUGGUGACAGCUGUGGGGCUGAGCGG
Molecule: small nucleolar RNA, 72 nt
Organism: Amazona collaria (yellow-billed parrot)
Lineage: Eukaryota; Metazoa; Chordata; Aves; Psittaciformes; Psittacidae
Source: Ensembl